AAAUUGAAGAGUUUGAUCAUGGCUCAGAUUGAACGCUGGCGGCAGGCCUAACACAUGCAAGUCGAACGGUAACAGGAAGCAGCUUGCUGCUUUGCUGACGAGUGGCGGACGGGUGAGUAAUGUCUGGGAAGCUGCCUGAUGGAGGGGGAUAACUACUGGAAACGGUGGCUAAUACCGCAUAACGUCGCAAGACCAAAGAGGGGGACCUUCGGGCCUCUUGCCAUCAGAUGUGCCCAGAUGGGAUUAGCUUGUUGGUGAGGUAACGGCUCACCAAGGCGACGAUCCCUAGCUGGUCUGAGAGGAUGACCAGCCACACUGGAACUGAGACACGGUCCAGACUCCUACGGGAGGCAGCAGUGGGGAAUAUUGCACAAUGGGCGCAAGCCUGAUGCAGCCAUGCCGCGUGUAUGAAGAAGGCCUUCGGGUUGUAAAGUACUUUCAGCGGGGAGG
RNAcentral lists this ribosomal RNA (450 nucleotides) under Salmonella enterica subsp. enterica serovar Florida. RNAcentral's name for it is "bacterial SSU rRNA". It matches the Rfam family "Bacterial small subunit ribosomal RNA", at positions 1 to 447 of the family's 1533-position model. Lineage: Bacteria; Pseudomonadati; Pseudomonadota; Gammaproteobacteria; Enterobacterales; Enterobacteriaceae. The record is from RNAcentral.